RNAcentral lists this ribosomal RNA (534 nucleotides) under uncultured bacterium. Its description in RNAcentral is "bacterial SSU rRNA". It matches the Rfam family "Bacterial small subunit ribosomal RNA", at positions 66 to 634 of the family's 1533-position model. The record is from RNAcentral.
GCGAGAAAGGGGGCAACCCUGAGUACAGCGGCGUACGGGUGAGUAACACGUGGAUGAUUUACCUUUUAGUGGGGAAUAACCCUGGGAAACCGGGGCUAAUACCGCAUAAGCCUGAGAAGGGAAAGCCGAAAGGCGCUGAAAGAGGAGUCCGCGGCCGAUUAGCUAGUUGGUAGGGUAAAGGCCUACCAAGGCGACGAUCGGUAGCCGGCCUGAGAGGGCACACGGCCACACUGGCACUGAAACACGGGCCAGACUCCUACGGGAGGCAGCAGUGGGGAAUCUUGCACAAUGGAGGCAACUCUGAUGCAGCGACGCCGCGUGAGCGAUGAAGCCCUUCGGGGUGUAAAGCUCUUUCGACGGGGACGAUAAUGACGGUACCCGGAGAAGAAGCUGCGGCUAACUACGUGCCAGCAGCCGCGGUAAUACGUAGGCAGCGAGCGUUGUUCGGAAUUACUGGGCGUAAAGAGUGUGUAGGCGGUGCUCUAAGUUCGGUGUGAAAUCUCCUGGCUUAACUGGGAGGGUGCGCCGGAAACU